This 459-nucleotide ribosomal RNA is filed under the name uncultured bacterium. RNAcentral's name for it is "partial 16S ribosomal RNA". It matches the Rfam family "Bacterial small subunit ribosomal RNA", at positions 338 to 795 of the family's 1533-position model. The record is from RNAcentral.
CCUACGGGAGACAGCAGUGAGGAAUAUUGGUCAAUGGACGAGAGUCUGAACCAGCCAAGUAGCGUGAAGGAUGACUGCCCUAUGGGUUGUAAACUUCUUUUAUAUGGGAGUAAAACAGGGUAUGCAUACCCUCUUGUAUGUACCAUAUGAAUAAGGAUCGGCUAACUCCGUGCCAGCAGCCGCGGUAAUACGGAGGAUCCGAGCGUUAUCCGGAUUUAUUGGGUUUAAAGGGCGCGUAGGUGGAUUAUCAAGUCAGCGGUAAAAUCGUGGAGCUCAACUCCAGCCAGCCGUUGAAACUGAUGAGCUGGAGUGGGCGAGAAGUAGGCGGAAUGCGUGGUGUAGCGGUGAAAUGCAUAGAUAUCACGCAGAACUCCGAUGGCGAAGGCAGCAUACCGGAGCCCGACUGACGCUGAAGCACGAAAGCGUGGCUAUCGAACAGGAUUAGAUACCCUUGUAGUC